RNAcentral lists this ribosomal RNA (540 nucleotides) under uncultured bacterium. RNAcentral's name for it is "bacterial SSU rRNA". It matches the Rfam family "Bacterial small subunit ribosomal RNA", at positions 1 to 526 of the family's 1533-position model. The record is from RNAcentral.
GAUUGAGUUUGAUCCUGGCUCAGGAUGAACGCUGGCGGCGUGCCUAAUACAUGCAAGUCGAGCGAACUGAUUAGAAGCUUGCUUCUAUGACGUUAGCGGCGGACGGGUGAGUAACACGUGGGCAACCUGCCUGUAAGACUGGGAUAACUCCGGGAAACCGGAGCUAAUACCGGAUAACAUUUUCUCUUGCAUAAGAGAAAAUUGAAAGAUGGUUUCGGCUAUCACUUACAGAUGGGCCCGCGGUGCAUUAGCUAGUUGGUGAGGUAACGGCUCACCAAGGCAACGAUGCAUAGCCGACCUGAGAGGGUGAUCGGCCACACUGGGACUGAGACACGGCCCAGACUCCUACGGGAGGCAGCAGUAGGGAAUCUUCCGCAAUGGACGAAAGUCUGACGGAGCAACGCCGCGUGAGUGAUGAAGGCUUUCGGGUCGUAAAACUCUGUUGUUAGGGAAGAACAAGUACAAGAGUAACUGCUUGUACCUUGACGGUACCUAACCAGAAAGCCACGGCUAACUACGUGCCAGCAGCCGCGGUAAAAU